This 418-nucleotide ribosomal RNA is filed under the name Siphonaria sp. UF 303783. RNAcentral describes it as "partial 16S ribosomal RNA". It matches the Rfam family "Bacterial large subunit ribosomal RNA", at positions 1832 to 2596 of the family's 2925-position model. The record is from RNAcentral. Lineage: Eukaryota; Metazoa; Mollusca; Gastropoda; Siphonariida; Siphonariidae.
AGUCUGCAGAAGUAUUGUAGAUAUUGCCUGCCCAAUGUAAAAUAAAUGGCCGCAGAACUUUAACUGUGCAAAGGUAGCAUAAUCAUUUGUCUUUUAAUUGGAGACUUGUAUGAAUGGCUAAACGAGAUUCUACUGUCUCAAAUGGGUUUUUUUAAACUUGCUAAAAAGGUGCAAAAUCCUUUUUGCUUUAAAAAGACGAGAAGACCCUCAGAGUUUUUACAAAAAGAUUUUAAAAUCUUACGUUUUUGUUGGGGCAACAAAGGAGUCACCCUCCUUAGAUACAAGAUAUUUUUUUGAAGGAAAAAACUACCUGAGGGAUAACAGCAUAAUCCUAAAAGGGUUUGUGACCUCGAUGUUGGACUAGGUAAAGAACUUUCCAGAAGAAAGUUCUAAAAGCUCUGUUCGAGCUUUUGAUCCU